This 87-nucleotide transfer RNA is filed under the name Candidatus Methanogaster sp. ANME-2c ERB4. RNAcentral's name for it is "Methanosarcinales archaeon ANME-2c ERB4 tRNA-Ser". It matches the Rfam family "tRNA". From Rfam's summary of the family: Transfer RNA (tRNA) molecules are approximately 80 nucleotides in length. Their secondary structure includes four short double-helical elements and three loops (D, anti-codon, and T loops). The record is from RNAcentral. RNAcentral also lists the same sequence under 1 other name. Lineage: Archaea; Methanobacteriati; Methanobacteriota; Methanomicrobia; Methanosarcinales; Candidatus Methanogasteraceae.
UGCCGAGAUAGCCAAGCGGACUACGGCGCUGGUCUUGAAAACCAGUGGUGCAUGUCACCGCGUGAGUUCGAAUCUCACUCUCGGCGU